UUACGGUCAAAUCACGCUGAAAACACCGGUUCUCGUUCGAUCACCGAAGUUAAGCAUCGUAGAGCCAGGUCAGUACUUAGAUGGGGGACCAC
RNAcentral lists this ribosomal RNA (92 nucleotides) under Acanthosepion pharaonis. Lineage: Eukaryota; Metazoa; Mollusca; Cephalopoda; Sepiida; Sepiidae. The record is from RNAcentral.